GAUGAAGAACGCAGCGAAAUGCGAUAAGUAGUGUGAAUUGCAGAAUUCAGUGAAUCAUCGAAUCUUUGAACGCACAUUGCGCCUUCUAGUAUUCUGGGAGGCAUGCCUGUUUGAGCGUCAUUAAACCUCUCUCAAGUAUGAUUACUUGGAUGUGAAGGAAGAGUACCUUAAACUUAAGGAGUGUUCUCUUUUGAAAUUGAUUAGCAGAUGGUAAUGUUAUUAAAUCCCUGAUGUUGUAAGAAAUAACAGUGGUUUUGUAGACUAUUAUCUAGCUUUAAAUUAUAAUUUUUAUUAUGGUUGACCUCAAAUCAGGUAAGGAUACCCGCUGAACUUAAGCAUAUCAAUAAGCGGAGGA
This 355-nucleotide unclassified non-coding RNA is filed under the name soil metagenome. RNAcentral's name for it is "partial contains 5.8S ribosomal RNA, internal transcribed spacer 2, and large subunit ribosomal RNA". The stretch from base 1 to 120 matches the Rfam family "5.8S ribosomal RNA", at positions 35 to 154 of the family's 154-position model. The record is from RNAcentral.